RNAcentral lists this ribosomal RNA (440 nucleotides) under uncultured bacterium. RNAcentral's name for it is "partial 16S ribosomal RNA". It matches the Rfam family "Bacterial small subunit ribosomal RNA", at positions 338 to 795 of the family's 1533-position model. The record is from RNAcentral.
CCUACGGGCGGCUGCAGUAGGGAAUAUUGCACAAUGGGGGAAACCCUGAUGCAGCGACGCCGCGUGGGUGAAGAAGUAUUUCGGUACGUAAAGCUCUAUCAGCAGGGAAGAAAAUGACGGUACCUGACUAAGAAGCACCGGCUAACUACGUGCCAGCAGCCGCGGUAAUACGUAGGGGGCAAGCGUUAUCCGGAUUUACUGGGUGUAAAGGGAGCGUAGACGGCCGGGGAAGUCAGGAGUGAAAUGCCGGGGCCCAACCCCGGAACUGCUCUGGAAACUGUGAAGCUGGAGUGCAGGAGAGGUAAGCGGAAUUCCUGGUGUAGGGGUGAAAUGCGUAGAUAUCAGGAGGAAUACCGGCGGCGAAGGCGGCUUACUGGACUGUAACUGACGUUGAGGCACGAAGGCGUGGGGAGCAAACAGGAUUAGAUACCCUUGUAGUC